Molecule: ribosomal RNA, 434 nt
Filed under: uncultured bacterium
Lineage: Bacteria
Description: bacterial SSU rRNA
Rfam family: Bacterial small subunit ribosomal RNA
Source: RNAcentral
AACGCGAAGAACCUUACCAAGGCUUGACAUGGAGACGACCGGCGUGGAGACACGCCUUCCCUUCGGGGCGGCUCACACAGGUGGUGCAUGGUUGUCGUCAGCUCGUGUCGUGAGAUGUUGGGUUAAGUCCCGCAACGAGCGCAACCCUUAUCUUUAGUAGCCAGCGGCUCGGCCGGGCACACUAGAGAGACUGCCGUGGAUAACACGGAGGAAGGCGGGGACGACGUCAAAUCAUCAUGCCCCUUAUGUCUUGGGCGACACACGUGCUACAAUGGCGCGCACAAAGUGACGCGAACCGGCGACGGUGAGCAAACCACAAAAAACGCGCCCCAGUUCGGAUUGCAGGCUGCAACCCGCCUGCAUGAAGUUGGAAUCGCUAGUAAUCGCAAAUCAGCAUGUUGCGGUGAAUACGUUCCCGGGUCUUGUACACACCG